RNAcentral lists this RNase P RNA (349 nucleotides) under bacterium. Its description in RNAcentral is "RNase P RNA component class A". It matches the Rfam family "Bacterial RNase P class A". Rfam says of the family: Ribonuclease P (RNase P) is a ubiquitous endoribonuclease, found in archaea, bacteria and eukarya as well as chloroplasts and mitochondria. Its best characterised activity is the generation of mature 5'-ends of tRNAs by cleaving the 5'-leader elements of precursor-tRNAs. The record is from RNAcentral.
UUGUCGAGGUGGUCAAUCGCUUGGGGCAUCUUCGGGUGACCCCAAGAGGAAAGUCCGGACUCUAUAGAGCAGGGAGACCGACUGUAAUGGUCGGUGGUAGCUGUGCAAAACAGCUAGAUGGAGAGUGCCACAGAAAUAAACCGCCACUUCGGUGGUAAGGGUGAAAAGGUGAGGUAAGAGCUCACCGGCGAAGUGUGAAAACACGCGUGUCAAGGUAAACCCCUCCCAGAGCAAGCCCAAAUAGGCGGAGAGGUACUGCUCGUACCAUUCUUAUCCGCGGGUUGGGUGCUUAGUUAAAUGAUUGACGCCCGCAAGGGUACAGAACUCGGCUUAUAGCCUCGACAAAUUC